CUACGGGGGGCUGCAGUGGGGAAUAUUGCACAAUGGGCGCAAGCCUGAUGCAGCCAUGCCGCGUGUAUGAAGAAGGCCUUCGGGUUGUAAAGUACUUUCAGCGGGGAGGAAGGGAGUAAAGUUAAUACCUUUGCUCAUUGACGUUACCCGCAGAAGAAGCACCGGCUAACUCCGUGCCAGCAGCCGCGUGUAUACGGAGGGUGCAAGCGUUAAUCGGAAUUACUGGGCGUAAAGCGCACGCAGGCGGUUUGUUAAGUCAGAUGUGAAAUCCCCGGGCUCAACCUGGGAACUGCAUCUGAUACUGGCAAGCUUGAGUCUCGUAGAGGGGGGUAGAAUUCCAGGUGUAGCGGUGAAAUGCGUAGAGAUCUGGAGGAAUACCGGUGGCGAAGGCGGCCCCCUGGACGAAGACUGACGCUCAGGUGCGAAAGCGUGGGGAGCAAACAGGAUUAGAUACCCCAGUAGUC
This 464-nucleotide ribosomal RNA is filed under the name uncultured bacterium. RNAcentral describes it as "partial 16S ribosomal RNA". It matches the Rfam family "Bacterial small subunit ribosomal RNA", at positions 339 to 795 of the family's 1533-position model. The record is from RNAcentral.